CCUACGGGAGGCAGCAGUGGGGAAUUUUGCGCAAUGGGCGAAAGCCUGACACAGCAACGCCGCGUGCGGGAAGAAGGCCUUCGGGUCGUAAACCGCUUUCAGCAGGAACGAAAAUGACGGUACCUGCAGAAGAAGGUGCGGCCAACUACGUGCCAGCAGCCGCGGUGACACGUAGGCACCAAGCGUUGUCCGGAUUUAUUGGGCGUAAAGAGCUCGUAGGCGGUUCAGCAAGUCGGGUGUGAAAACUCUGGGCUUAACCCAGAGCCUGCACUCGAAACUGCUGUGACUAGAGUUCGGUAGGGGAGCGGGGAAUUCCUGGUGUAGCGGUGAAAUGCGCAGAUAUCAGGAGGAACACCAAUGGCGAAGGCACCACUCUGGGCCGAGACUGACGCUGAGGAGCGAAAGCGUGGGUAGCAAACAGGAUUAGAUACCCUGGUAGUCCACGCCGUAAACGGUGGGCACUAGGUGUGGGUUCCAACCAACGGAAUCCGCGCCGUCGCUAACGCAUUAAGUGCCCCGCCUGGGGAGUACGGCCGCAAGGUUAAAACUCAAAGGAAUUGACGG
Molecule: ribosomal RNA, 564 nt
Filed under: uncultured Actinomycetes bacterium
Lineage: Bacteria; Bacillati; Actinomycetota; Actinomycetes
Description: bacterial SSU rRNA
Rfam family: Bacterial small subunit ribosomal RNA
Source: RNAcentral